UACGUAGGCAGCAAGCGUUGUUCGGAGUUACUGGGCGUAAAGGGUGUGUAGGCGGUUCUUUAAGUUUGGGGUGAAAUCUCCCGGCUCAACUGGGAGGGUGCGCCGAAUACUGAGGGACUAGAGUACGGGAGAGGAAAGUGGAAUUCCUGGUGUAGCGGUGAAAUGCGUAGAUAUCAGGAGGAACACCGGUGGUGUAGACGGCUUUCUGGACCGUAACUGACGCUGAAACACGAAAGCGUGGGUAGCAAACAGG
Molecule: ribosomal RNA, 253 nt
Filed under: uncultured bacterium
Lineage: Bacteria
Description: partial 16S ribosomal RNA
Rfam family: Bacterial small subunit ribosomal RNA
Source: RNAcentral